UUUGGUGGCGAUGGCGGAGGGGAACCACGCGUACCCAUCCCGAACACGACCGUUAAGCCCUCCAGCGCCAAUGGUACUUGGACCGCAGGGUCCUGGGAGAGUAGGACGUUGCCAAGC
This 117-nucleotide ribosomal RNA is filed under the name Paenibacillus sp. UNC496MF. The record is from RNAcentral. Lineage: Bacteria; Bacillati; Bacillota; Bacilli; Caryophanales; Paenibacillaceae.